GAAGCUACUGUCAGGCAGAUACACACUUUCCUCCAAAUUGGUGUCAUCUGCAAACUUACCAAGUGUGCACUCAAUCCUGUUGUCUUUCCGCUUGUUUCAAUUGUACUCCAAUCGAAUCGGCAACUGGGUUCUUACCACUUUCUCUAUCACAUAUGAGACAAGAUUUCUCCUCCAUUUGUCUGGAUAAGGUGCCCCAGUUCGCUACAGUGCACACAAAUUCCAUCUUCUGGUAAUGACUGUCUACUAGCAUGAUUGGUGAGAACACUCUGAACGUGGGAAGAGUUCUGGCUGGAGGACAAGUCGAAUGAAAGCAGGAGGCUUCAGAGAGCUCGCUGUUCCCUCCAAAAUCUGUUCUGCUAUGCAUUUUCUUUGUUCUUUCAUUCAUCCUGCUCCCUUUUUCCCCUCAAGGGAGGAGCAACAAGCUGCAAGAACAGAUGUUCCUAAUUUUAUUAGACACUUCAUACUGAUACACAGAGCUUUACUUCCUAGUUAAGCAAUGACAAGGCUCACUGUAUCUCACAGGAGCAGCAUGAUUCUCAAGAGGGGCUAAUAUAUACAUAUAACGGUCCAAGACUGUAUUUCUUAUGUAAAUAGAAAAACAUAAAUAGCAUUUUUAUGCACUUAGUAGAAUCAGUGCCAAAGAUUACUGAACAUGAAUUUGUAGCCAAGAAGCGUAAUCAAGUGUUCUUUAAUAAAAAAAUAUAUAAUAUAACGUUAUUGUAUGACACAUAGAUGCAAAAUCCUCAGUUUUAAAAUGUGCCUUUCAUAAGCAUUCAGAAUUGAUUAUUUUUUAUGGAUUUUCUGAAAUGUUAAGUAUAAAACAAGUUCAAUCCAUAGAUCCAUUUUUUUCCUUUUAUUUAUCUUUCUUCUUUAUCCCUCUUGAUCCCAAUUACUGCAAAUUUCUAAAUCUUCUUAAUUCAUAAAAAGACUGAAAACAAAACACUAAGAGAAUCCACCUGGAAAAGGCUCUAGUUUAAAAGAGAAAAACAAAUCCAAAAAUUUGCUUUCUCUUUCUCUCUAGGACAAACUAUCAUGUGCUGAGGGUUGUAUGAACACAGAGGGAUUCUGAUCCUGGUUAUUUGGUUCUGACAGAGGAGAAGAGUCACCCAGAUUUCAAAAGUCUCCUCCAAUAAGCAUGGCAAAAUCAGACUCUUAAAAGCUGAGGGAACAGUCAUUUUGUUAUAUAUCAAGCUUUCUAUAGUACGAUAUACUUUCGUUAGUUUUAAAUGGGAAGAACAGUUCAUUGUCCAAAUCAGAAUAAGUACCUGAAAAUAGAGCAAUGAAACUUACUUGCCUGUUUUGUAUGUGCAUGACGUAUUUCAUUUGCAUUCUUCCUCUCUACGGGCUGUAUGGAUGCAUAGCUUAUAGAAUCAUAGAAUCAUUUGAGUUGGAAGGAACCCUCAACGCAGCUGAUAUGAGUAUUAUUGUAUGGUUGUUAACUAUUGUAGUUGCAAUCACUGUGAGUGUAUAUGCGUGGAGUUCCCAGAAAUUACAGUCUAAUAAUUUUUGCUAUUACCAUAAUAAUUUCAAAACUAAGAAGCAUAAAAGUAGUAUUACUCUGGUAUAUGUGACAUAACAAAACCACAAAUUUACAAAAAAGCUUGCACAAAGUUACUUUGAACAUAGCUCUUUUUUUUCUUUAAGGAUCAUUAGUGUCUCUCAAGUGUGACAAAGAUCCUACAACUCUUAAAAGCACAGAAAUUAUUUUAAUGAGAUGUACAUAUACACAAACUCUGAGAAUAAUUUAGGAAUUACACUAGAGAUCAUUUUAGGUACACAUAAUAUGAACAUUAAAAGGAAAUAUAUAAUUUUAAAUCUGUAGAAGGAUAGGAGUGGAGAACCCAAUUACCAUUUCUGCAAGAAUAGUAGCAUGCCAAAGUCAGGAACAAAAGAUGGUGAGGUAGAACAACCAAUUUUCAGCAUUCAAAACAGAUUUCUGCAAAAACUUUGCUAAACUAUUGAGCCUUGCUAGCUAAUAUAAUUACAGGAGCAGAUACUGAGGAAGGUUAUUAGAAGACUAAUCUAAAUAUUCAUUAUAACAUUUUGUUUUAUAUAUAUUUUUUAAUCUAAACUUGUAUAGGUCUAAGAAUGAAUUCAGAUGGUAGAUGUAUUUGUACUUCUCUGACAAUAUAUCCAAAUGAAAUGGAAGAAUAACCUAAAAAUUAAAUUAAAUUUUAAAAAGCCUGGCCAAUCACCCACAAAUUGCUAUAAAUGUAUAUCUCAGAAGCUGCAGUGAGCUUUGGACUCUAAAAUGAAAGUUUUAGUUUUAGGGUUGGUAUUUUGAAGCAUCAGAUCUCAGGGUAAAAGCUGGUAUGAGAGAAAUAAUCUGGAUCCCUUCUGACAAGAAACAAGCAGCACAGCAACAGAACAUAGCAUUGGCUGUCCCAAGGGAAUGACAACCUUAUUCAUUCUAUAUUUAUUUCUAUAAUUCUACCAAAAACUGCUAUUUUUGAAUCAUUUAUCUCAUCAGACAAGUAAAUAGUAAACACUGAAAAGAGAAUAUUAUACAGCCUU
This 2514-nucleotide long non-coding RNA is filed under the name Gallus gallus (chicken). RNAcentral describes it as "lncRNA (ENSGALG00010019530.1)". The record is from RNAcentral. Lineage: Eukaryota; Metazoa; Chordata; Aves; Galliformes; Phasianidae.